Molecule: ribosomal RNA, 415 nt
Filed under: uncultured bacterium
Lineage: Bacteria
Description: bacterial SSU rRNA
Rfam family: Bacterial small subunit ribosomal RNA
Source: RNAcentral
GGCGAACGGUGAGUAAUCGCAGUCGGAACGUGCCCUGAAGUGGGGGAUAACGUAGCGAAAGUUACGCUAAUACCGCAUAUUCUGUGAGCAGGAAAGCAGGGGAUCUUCGGACCUUGCGCUUUUGGAGCGGCCGAUGUCGGAUUAGCUAGUUGGUGGGUAAAGGCUCACCAAGGCAACGAUCCGUAGCGGGUCUGAGAGGAUGAUCCGCCACACUGGAACUGAGACACGGUCCAGACUCCUACGGGAGGCAGCAGUGGGGAAUUUUGGACAAUGGGCGCAAGCCUGAUCCAGCCAUGCCGCGUGAGUGAAGAAGGCUUUCGGGUUGUAAAGCUCUUUCGGUUGGGAAGAAAUUUGCUUGGGUUAAUACCCUGUGUGGAUGACGGUACCGGAAUAAGAAGCACCGGCUAACUACGUG